CCGCGCUCUUCACGCGGGCGAGCCUCGUUGACGACGAGGUCACGGCCACCGACGUUCUGGCCGUUGAGCGCGGUC
This 75-nucleotide transfer RNA is filed under the name Phycisphaerae bacterium. RNAcentral's name for it is "tRNA-Val". The record is from RNAcentral. Lineage: Bacteria; Pseudomonadati; Planctomycetota; Phycisphaerae.